UGAGGUAGAUUGUUGGAUGACUUAAUUUUAAAGCCAUUCAACUAUCUGUCUUCUCU
RNAcentral lists this microRNA precursor (56 nucleotides) under Schmidtea mediterranea. RNAcentral describes it as "Sme-Let-7-P20b_pre stem-loop". Lineage: Eukaryota; Metazoa; Platyhelminthes; Tricladida; Dugesiidae. The record is from RNAcentral.